RNAcentral lists this ribosomal RNA (586 nucleotides) under uncultured bacterium. RNAcentral's name for it is "partial 16S ribosomal RNA". It matches the Rfam family "Bacterial small subunit ribosomal RNA", at positions 355 to 1375 of the family's 1533-position model. The record is from RNAcentral.
UGGGGAAUUUUGGACAAUGGGCGAAAGCCUGAUCCAGCAAUGCCGCGUGUGUGAAGAAGGCCUUCGGGUUGUAAAGCACUUUUGUCCGGAAAGAAAUCCUUGGCUCUAAGUACAGUCGGGGGAUGACGGUACCGGAAGAAUAAGCACCGGCUAACUACGUGCCAGCAGCCGCGGUAAUACGUAGGGUGCAAGCGUUAAUCGGAAUUACUGGGCGUAAAGCGUGCGCAGGCGGUUUGCUAAGACCGAUGUGAAAUCCCCGGGCUCAACCUGGGAACUGCAUUGGUGACUGGCAGGCUAGAGUAUGGCAGAGGGGGGUAGAAUUCCACGUGUAGCAGUGAAAUGCGUAGAGAUGUGGAGGAAUACCGAUGGCGAAGGCAGCCCCCUGGGCCAAUACUGACGCUCAUGCACGAAAGCGUGGGGAGCAAACAGGAUUAGAUACCCUGGUAGUCCACGCCCUAAACGAUGUCAACUAGUUGUUGGGGAUUCAUUUCCUUAGUAACGUAGCUAACGCGUGAAGUUGACCGCCUGGGGAGUACGGUCGCAAGAUUAAAACUCAAAGGAAUUGACGGGGUCAUAGCUGUUUCCU